RNAcentral lists this ribosomal RNA (1438 nucleotides) under uncultured organism. RNAcentral's name for it is "16S ribosomal RNA". It matches the Rfam family "Bacterial small subunit ribosomal RNA". The record is from RNAcentral.
GGCUCAGGAUGAACGCUAGCUACAGGCUUAACACAUGCAAGUCGAGGGGCAUCAGGAAGAAAGCUUGUUUUGAUGGAUGGCGACCGGCGCACGGGUGAGUAACACGUAUCCAACCUGCCGACAACACUGGGAUAGCCUUUCGAAAGAAAGAUUAAUACCGGAUGGCAUAGUUUUCCCGCAUGGGAUAAUUAUUAAAGAAUUUCGGUUGUCGAUGGGGAUGCGUUCCAUUAGGCAGUUGGCGGGGUAACGGCCCACCAAACCAACGAUGGAUAGGGGUUCUGAGAGGAAGGUCCCCCACAUUGGAACUGAGACACGGUCCAAACUCCUACGGGAGGCAGCAGUGAGGAAUAUUGGUCAAUGGACGAGAGUCUGAACCAGCCAAGUAGCGUGAAGGAUGACUGCCCUAUGGGUUGUAAACUUCUUUUAUACGGGAAUAAAGUUAGCCACGUGUGGCUUUUUGUAUGUACCGUAUGAAUAAGGAUCGGCUAACUCCGUGCCAGCAGCCGCGGUAAUACGGAGGAUCCGAGCGUUAUCCGGAUUUAUUGGGUUUAAAGGGAGCGUAGGCGGGUUGUUAAGUCAGUUGUGAAAGUUUGCGGCUCAACCGUAAAAUUGCAGUUGAUACUGGCGACCUUGAGUGCAACAGAGGUAGGCGGAAUUCGUGGUGUAGCGGUGAAAUGCUUAGAUAUCACGAAGAACUCCGAUUGCGAAGGCAGCUUACUGGAUUGUAACUGACGCUGAUGCUCGAAAGUGUGGGUAUCAAACAGGAUUAGAUACCCUGGUAGUCCACACAGUAAACGAUGAAUACUCGCUGUUGGCGAUAUACGGUCAGCGGCCAAGCGAAAGCAUUAAGUAUUCCACCUGGGGAGUACGCCGGCAACGGUGAAACUCAAAGGAAUUGACGGGGGCCCGCACAAGCGGAGGAACAUGUGGUUUAAUUCGAUGAUACGCGAGGAACCUUACCCGGGCUUAAAUUGUAACUGACUGAACCGGAAACGGUUCUUUCUUCGGACAGUUGUGAAGGUGCUGCAUGGUUGUCGUCAGCUCGUGCCGUGAGGUGUCGGCUUAAGUGCCAUAACGAGCGCAACCCUUACGGGUAGUUACCAUCAGGUUAUGCUGGGGACUCUACCCGGACUGCCGUCGUAAGAUGUGAGGAAGGUGGGGAUGACGUCAAAUCAGCACGGCCCUUACGUCCGGGGCUACACACGUGUUACAAUGGGGGGUACAGAAGGCAGCUACACGGCGACGUGGUGCUAAUCCCGAAAGCCUCUCUCAGUUCGGAUUGGAGUCUGCAACCCGACUCCAUGAAGCUGGAUUCGCUAGUAAUCGCGCAUCGGCCACGGCGCGGUGAAUACGUUCCCGGGCCUUGUACACACCGCCCGUCAAGCCAUGAAAGCCGGGGGUACCUGAAGUACGUAACCGCGAGGAGCGUCCUAGGGUA